GGGGUCGUGGCCAAGCUGGUUAAGGCGCUCUUGGGUUUCUCUGGAGAAGAGAGGCGAUGGUUCAAAUCCAUCCGACUCCA
This 80-nucleotide transfer RNA is filed under the name Colletotrichum orbiculare MAFF 240422. Its description in RNAcentral is "tRNA-Ser (GGA) (tRNA-Ser-GGA-1-1)". It matches the Rfam family "tRNA". Rfam says of the family: Transfer RNA (tRNA) molecules are approximately 80 nucleotides in length. The record is from RNAcentral. Lineage: Eukaryota; Fungi; Ascomycota; Sordariomycetes; Glomerellales; Glomerellaceae.